CUCUGGAACACAAGGCCGAGCGGUGAGUCGGGCGCCGCCGGGAGGCUCGCUGAGCGGCGCCCGUGCUGGCGCACACGCAGCUUCACGCCACCUGUGUGACGGACGAGCUGGGGGAGCCCUCGCUGUCCCCACUUUUAAGUCGCACUGCGUCUCCCUGAGACCAAGAUGGAGAAGGAGACCUUCGCCUGUUACGACGGACGCAGACCAGCAGGAAGGGCUCGUGAAAGGCCGAGUGGGGGACGGCAGCCUGGUGAGGACGUGCACUCGUAAUACAUUCGGGAGGAGCGUGUGCACUGAGGAGCAGCCUCUGAAGAUGCUAUCUCUGGACUCUGGCCACGGAGCCCGGCGGCUGGAGCGCCGUCCCGAUACACCAAGGUUGCAAGUUCGAUCCCCGGUCAGGGCACAUGUAAGACUCAGCCAAUGACUGCAUCAGUAAGUGGGACAACAAAUUGGUGUUUCUCUCUUUCACAAAAGAUCAAUGACAACGUGACCUCCACACACCAGGAACAAGCCCCGGGGACAACACUGGGCUCUGAAAUGAGCAGGAUGGUGCCAGGAGGUGACAUGGUCUCUGGCUGCACCCACAGACAUGGGUGCGUCCCCCUCGACGAGAGCCCUGGCCUUUGAGCCGUGAGCGCCCUGCCACCGCCCUGCGGCUACGACAGAUGACUGCAGCAGCUCCUCUCCCCUCUCAGGAAGCAGCCCUGAGCUGGUGGCCUGAUGGGCACUGGCCCUCCACCAGGACGACGAAAGUGAGACGUAAAUGGGCACCUUCCACCCUAAACCAGGAGCGGGCCCAGGGGGCCAUGCCAGCUUCGCCAGCUUGCUGGUCUCUAGGGGCCAGAGCCCAGUCACGAAGGAGGAAGGGGCAGGCUCAGAGUGUCACCCUGAUCAGGCCAGCUGCCUCUCCUGGUACCCGGGUUUCCCCAGCACCACACUAGAAAGAGCCACGCUCUCAAUUUAGUGGCAGUUUCUGUGGCCUGAGACCACACACACCCCUGCCGUGGGAAGUUCCCACACAGGCACAGAGUUCCACUGGGAAGCGUGGCCACAGUGCCUCCCCCUCCGAGGGAGCGGCCCCUCUGGAGCGCUUCAAGGGUGGGGCCAGCCAACGCCAGCUGGCCCACCCUCUCAGUCUCCAAACGCACUGGCUUCUUCCCUGCCCCCAGGUUUUCUCACCUGGGGUUCCCCCCUCCCUUGCCCACCUUUUUGGAGUCAAGCCAACCAUGACCUGGCUAAGGAAGCCCUCUUGGACUGAGACACUAGAAGGCACAGCUGUUACACCCCUUUGUGGCCUGACCCACGAGGUGUCUGUCGGUGCCUCCUCUCUCUGCCCCUCGGAGCAGAAGGGAUGGGUCUCUCCAUCUAUCCCCUCCCGUACCCCUAGACCCGCCCCCAGGCCCCCAGAUAGCACCUGGCCCACUGUGAACAACAAACACUGGAGACUGUUUCCCAAAGCACAGGGACUCUGCCGUCACUCAUUUUGGUGCCCUCCUCCCUCUCUCACAAUGGCAGCAGGAGGAAGGAGAUUUAUGAAUCACCACCCGCACAGCUGCUGAUCACAGCACACGAUCGCUUCCCCACAGAGCAACGACCAACAGAUCCCAUCAGAUUCCCAUCAGAUCUCCAACCCUCUCCUGUGCUAUUUCCGAUCAAAUGUCACCCGAGAAGAUGACACAACUGAAGUUAUAAAGCGGUGACUCCCGACCAUCACAAGCUUUCUCCUGACCACAGGGAAAGACGGUGCUGUGACUGUGAGUGAGUGUCCCCCGUCACUACAAAGGCAGCCACACAGCACGCACACUCUGCGGGUCCCCGAGAUGGUCGUGUGGCUAGCGUCACAACUGGGGGCUCUGUGAUGCCCAUGGAAGUGACUGAGGGCAGAGACCACAGGCCCCCAGCACCAGGCCAGAAACCAACACCUGGCCACCGGGCGCUGGUAAUGGUGGGUGUGGCGUCCGGCCCCAGGACUCUGCAUUCACGGAAGACCUGGCCCGCAGAGCGCUUCUUUAGGGCGAGGGAAAGUCAGGUGGCUGUUAGCACGAGACACGCGCUGCCGGGCCGAGUUCUUUGUAGACCACGAGGCAGCCAGUCGCCCCCCCCAGGCCCGCUGAGCCCCCCCCACUGCCGCCGCCGCUCUCUGCAGGUGUGAGUUCUCUCGUGACGCCUUCCCCGAACCCACCUCCAACCACAGGGUCCACCGGGUGCAGGAGGCCCAGCGUCGUCGUCCCAUCUGGCUUUCUUCUUUCAAACUCGCACUGCAAUGACCCGAAGCAUUCGCAUCAACGGUUCUGUACGUGUUGUACGUGUGUGCGCACGUGUGGCUGGCACCAAGAACCUUACUACAGCCACACUCACUACGGGUACUGUCUCACUACACCCAGAUCGACUGCCGCAUCUGUCUGCAGACGCGAUGGGCUAAAGACGAUGGCUAGGAAAACUUCAGGGUUUGGAAGAGCUUGGCGGGUCCUUAAGGCCACCUUGAUCUGCCUGCGCAGCUCAGAGAGGACACUGAAGACCAGGAGGGUGGCUUGCCUAAGUCACGUACCAACCCACCUGCUUUUAAAACCAGUGUGUUAAACAACAUCAUUUCAAAAGACCAGAGUAUAAAUGUUUUCUUGUAAGCUUAAAAUAAAGUAUGUGGUUCAUUUUCCAGUUUUAGAACACAUUAACUUCACUAAAAAACCCCCAGUACUAGAGGGUAAGACUGACCAUGGAACUCUCGAACACACGCUCACUUUUCUGCCCCGCGUGCCGUGCGGGGAGCUCCGAGGCAGGCGUGGGCCAGGGGCACAGCCUGGCUCAGGGCCCCGGGAAGGAAGGAGACGCGCCGUCACCUGACUGUUCGCCGGCCGCCGGGUCAGCUUUCCCCCGGACUCCCUCACGAGGCGGUCGAUCUGCUCUUGCUCUCUUUCCAGACUCUGGCUCCUGGCUCUGUCCUCGAGCACGUCUCUGUCCUUCCUGAAAGCACACACUAACGCUGAGCACGAGAGCGGAGGAGUGGAGACGUUAAAAAGCGCUCCCACCUCGAACACAACGGCCCAAUCGGACCCCUGGGAAGGGCGACCCGGGUCUGUCGGCUGGCUCCCUGCCUUCGGGCAGAGCCAUUUACCCUGAACCUAUUUCUCAGGACACCCACGAAAAUUAGUUCCGCCAUGAACGUAUUUUGAAGGCAGAGAAUUUUGACUUUUCAAAUUAAAAAUGAGUAUACAUUUACAAUGUAUAAACCUUGGAGACAAAAACUUGUCACAAGGUUCUGUUCUUUUCGCCGUGACAGCAGGGGUCCCAGACUGCCGACCAGAACCCUCUCCUGAGGCCACAGUGAGGGGUGGGCAUCAGCUGUGCGAGGAGCUGGCCCUGCUGCCGCCGCCCCGAGGGGCCGGGGGAAGUCACUGCUCCCAUGUGCGGGCGUCCGGGGGAGAUGCGGCCUAUCUCGGCAAGGCGUCCCUGCCUCUCCACCUCUUUAUGGAACGAGUAACUAUCGAGUUUUUAAACCCCAUGGCACGUGAAGUCUCCAUACAUUCUGGCACCCUAGGACGGCCGGCGGUCACCGACGCCACUGGGGAACGCCACGCUUCAGAGAAUGAAAGGCGGCGGGCAUGGCUUCUUUCUCAGAGUGCGUAAUGGCUCUUCUCACCAAAGAAGUCUUGUUUCUGUUUUGUGAAACUCACGUCUAACUCCCCAGCACACUGACGUGCUGUGGGGUUGUGCCGUGGCCGAGGCCUGAGGUUCGGGAGGCAGGUCUGCUCUGUGCCGACUCUCACCUUUGAACUCUGAGCCUGUCACUGGAGGCCCGGAGGAGGGAGGUCUCCUCAGGGUUGCAUAGCAACAGCAGCUAAGCCUUCAGCAGAACAACAGAAACUAAGGACCAGAGGGCAUUCAGAUAAGAGCGGUGCAGUCCAGAAAUGCCAGUGACUCAUCUGAGGUCACUCGGAGCCAGGGCCCGAGAGAGGCCUCCCUGUCUCCGGUGACUGCAGUGCGGGUUGUGAGAGCCUCAAGAACACGAGCUUGUCACUUUUACUGAACUUUUAUUUUAAAGUCAUCUUAAAAGUACUAAAGUAAUACAUUUUAUUCUAGACAAAGAUGUGGGUAGAGAGGAAAAUAAAAGCCUUGUUAAUUUAUUACCUAGCAAGCAACAGGGCUAACAGCUUUAUCAUCCCAGUGUUUUUCUAAGCAUUAUACAGAUUAGCAAACUGGAAUUAUACCAAAUAUUUGGGUACCAGAAUUUUUUCACUUAAUAGAUCACAAGCAUUUCCCCUCCAUAUCAUUAAAUACUCUUCAGUGCUUUUAAUGACUGUGUAGUAAUUCAUCCUAUUCUAUGUACCACGAUUUAGUUAAUAACUUCCCAUUAGACAUUUAGAUUAUUUCCAAGUUUCCACCAUUACAAACACAAGCCUCAUGAAGAUUAUUGUAAAUAAUCGAAGAAUCUUAAUCUCUCUUUAGGAUAAAUUCCUAAAAAUGAAAACACAAGGUCAAAGGUAAUAUUUUUCAGGCUUUUGAUAUUUUCUGCCAGACUGCCUUUCAGAAAAGCAGUACCAAUUUCUGUUACUGUUUGAAAGUUUCUCUGAGUCCCUGUCAAACAGUGUAAUUAAAGAAAAUGUGCUAAUUUGACUACUAAAAACAUCUCUUAUUUGAAUGCAUAUUUAAAAAAUAUCAGGGAACGUGACCAUUGCUGCACUGUCAUCGGCCACUUGCCACUUGUGUUCCGUCCCGGAGGCCACUUCCCGCCGCUCACCCCCUCCAGUGCCCUGUGACCUCUCAGGAUGGCCCGGGCGCUGACUUCUCGGUAACCUUCGUUCCGCUCCAGAACUGAAGCAGAACCUCAGUAACAACGUUUGGGGACUCUUUUUUUGGU
Artibeus jamaicensis (Jamaican fruit-eating bat) is the source of this 4855-nucleotide long non-coding RNA. RefSeq lists it as uncharacterized. Lineage: Eukaryota; Metazoa; Chordata; Mammalia; Chiroptera; Phyllostomidae. The record is from RefSeq and is a predicted model, not a curated record. The transcript has 3 exons.